AUCUUGCUGGAGAUCCCUGCGUACCAGAGGCCUUCAGAAGGUAGGACUCAGUCUGCCUCUUUCCUUGUUUGGACGUGACAGUGAUGGACCAGAUUUUACUGGGAGCAUGAACCUGACCUUCAGCUUGUGCCAAAGGUGCAACAGAAGAAUGCCUUUCAGCAACAUGCAGGUCUGAGAGAUGUCAAGUGUUCGUUGCAUUCUGCUGACACCCCCUGGUGCCAUUACCAAGCAAGGCAGUCUCUUGCCCCUGCACAUCAGACCAGGGCCUAAGAAGCCAGCAGCGAGUGGCCUUUGAGUCUGUAACAAGCAUGCUGCUUUUCUAAUUAAAAAUGUCUGAUGUUGGAGCCACUUAUAAGGCAAAGACUCAUAGCUCCCUGGUCCCCAGCUUGUCUCAGCUAUGGGAGGAAGAAGCCACUUGAUUUGAAUACUGAAGAGUUAAGAGCCAGACCAGAUGGCAAGGGAAAAAGACACAGGAGUGACAGGAAGCAGCUUCAAGUCUGUGGCUGGUGGGGAGGAAGAGAAAAUGUGCCUUUCUUUUUUAUUAUUUUAACUCUCAUGUAUCUGAAAAAUGUCUCAGUGUGUCCUCCGAGAGACUGGGGUGUUUCCCACUUGUCUGCGAAAAAUAUGCCGUGGAGAUGAUGUAGCAAAAUACGUGCAUAGUGUGGUAAAAUAUAUUUUAAAGUCCAGGGAAACAGUCAUCUCAAACUAAUGAUCAUCCUGAAUUGGCCACUCACUUCUGGUACUGACUAAGCAAUAGACUUAAAUCUCAUUUAAAAAUAAGCAUAUGAAUACCAGAACAAGGAUUUUGUGAUACCCUCAGAAAAUUCUGUGAAGACUACAAAAUUCUGACUGUCUUGAAUGUUAUGAACAAAUUUGAUUUUGUUUGUGUUGUCUGCUUUAAGUUCAGUCCUUUUUUGAGGUAAGUGAGGCUUAAGAUUCAUCUAAGAGUGAGACCUCCCUCACCAGUGUAUUUAAGGAUGCAAUGGGCUGGGACACUGCCUUGUCAGAACAAGUUCUCGCUUUCUCUAGUGCAUCCUUCUAGCCUGUCCAAAGGGAAAGAGGUGUACCCACGUUAGGCAUGCAAGUGGGUAACUGGUGGCCUGGGGUAUCUGGAAUUCUCAUUGGCAUGUAGCUCUGCACUGGGUCAGCAAAGGUGACAGGGCCUUUCCUAUUGCUGCUGGCCCAUGUGGGCUGGACAGGCAUAAUUGCUUAACUUUGAAGUUCUUGACUUAACAAUGCCAAUAUUUCUUUAAUUCCUUCACAUCAUAUUGUUUGCCAUUUAAAAAAAAAAAAAAAGAGUAAGUACACUCUCUUGCUGUUCUCACAGUCUUUUUCUUCCUAUUCUCCUCUGUGAGGUAGCUUCAUAGUCUUAUUCUCUCAAUAAGUUUAGUCUGUCUCUGAAAGCGUAAGUAAGACACAAAGGAGAUUUAGGUGCCUAAGUUCCUCCUUGCACAAUGGAGGAGUCUAUGGCAGAUGGUGAUGGGUGAAGUGCUGUGCUAAUGCCCCACUACAACCUACGAGGUACACCAAUCUGCUAAUUAAAUAAAAUACCAUGAGUUCAGUCAUCCGUUUGCUCUGUUGUGUGUCACAGGAUCAAAACACGAAAAACUCUUUACAAGCACUUCUGCUUGACCAAGAGAGGACAUCAGCAGGACAUCACUCUGUUUAUGAGGCUCCACAGCUCUGAGAGGUGUGUGUGGAGGGUGGAGGUGUCACAUAGGUCAAAGAGUUGUGGUGCUUGUGGUAGUGUUCCUGGCAAACUUGCAAAUCUAGGCAGCAUCUUUAGGAAUUCCUGCCUGUUAACGUAGGUUGAAUCGGUAAGAUCUGAUCUGCCACUCACUCCCCAGAGGGAGAAGUAGAACAUGGAUGUUCACCGAAUGGUUGUUUAUCUUGCCUAAGCUGAGAAAGGAGAGCUGACAGGUGUGGUGGGAGCUGCACAGAAUGCGGAAGUCCAGAAAACAAUGAGGCCAUGCUCUGACAAACAGCUGUAACAUGUGUACACAAUGGAUAUGCCAGCUGAAAAAUUUUAGAAUGGUGUAAGGUGUGGUUAUAGGUAGAUCUAUUUUCCUUUGGCCCAUUUAUUAAGAUCAUAUGAUAAUGAUAGUUUUGUGCUGGCUUGAAUUAUGGGUGUGUUUUGUCGUGGAUUUUCUGGUGUAUAGUCUGUUCCUUUGUGGGGAUUUUGGGUUAGUUUAUUUGGUGGUUCAGCUUCUGUUUCUCAGAUUGCUUAUUGUCUCAGGAAGAAGCUUUUCUAAACAAUGUUAGAACCAGUAAUUAUUCUCAUUGUUGUGAAAGUAGUGUUCAUCUUU
Gallus gallus (chicken) is the source of this 2306-nucleotide long non-coding RNA. The record is from Ensembl. NCBI's taxonomy places the organism in Eukaryota, Metazoa, Chordata, Aves, Galliformes, Phasianidae.